Long non-coding RNA from Salvia splendens (bonfire salvia), 1766 nucleotides. RefSeq lists it as uncharacterized. The transcript is spliced from 2 exons. Lineage: Eukaryota; Viridiplantae; Streptophyta; Magnoliopsida; Lamiales; Lamiaceae. The record is from RefSeq and is a predicted model, not a curated record.
UCGAGUUUUCAUAUAAUACGAUUUGUAUUUUAGUAUAAGAAAGCUCACCUUGAUCGUUUAAUUCCCUGCACUUGAAUCUUUCGUUUCGACUUUACUUGCGUCUUCAUUCACUAUUUUCGGGCUUCGAUUAAAUUGGAUCUAUGUAUCUUUUUACUUUGAAAAUUUUACUCUUAACCAAAACUCUAAAAUAAAUUGAAAAAUCAAUUAUUUUCACUUAGCUACACAAAACCAUAUAAAAAUAUUAAUGGAACCUUAAUUUAAACUUAGGCUAAAAUUUUAUAUUAAAUUCCUCCAAAAUUAAUUCUAUUUUCGAAACUGAACUAAAAUACAUUACUGCAAUUUCCUCUAUUAAAAGGAGUUGGGCCCAGAUUCAUUCUUUUCACUAAUUCAACCCAAAUGAAUUAUCAUUAGCCCAAUUCUAAUUAAAUUGGUGGCCCCAAAACAUUAAAUUCUCUAGCCCAAAUGAAAGAAAAACUAGCCCAACCCUUAAGCCUAAAAAGAGAAAACCUACGUUAAAAAAAAUAUCCAAGUCUUCUUCCUCCCUCAUUCAUGAACAAUGAACAGCAGCCUCCCUCCCUCUCACACAUCGUCGCCGCCAGCCUCCCUCCGGUGCCGCCGUCGCGCCACCGCCACCUCCGACGGUGGUCCUUCUUCCUCCUUCUUUCUUUCUCCCUUCACCCCCCUUUCUCUCCCGGAGCAGCCUCCCUCUCUCGGUCAGUCCCUCUCCUUCGGUUCAGAUUCGCCGCACCGCUGCCACCGCUGCGGGUCCGCCGUCGUCGCGGGUUCGCGUCCCCGCCGCCAUCACCGAGAACCUCCCCUCCAGCCGCCGACGCGGUUCCCGACAGAUAGGUGGUCGGAAAUUCAAGGAAUGAAAGCAGUGGCUUUCGGAGCGUUGGUUGAUGAUUGUUGGCGACGGAGUGCCGAGCUCGUUGCCAGAAGUUAUUCGGCAGAUUCAUCUCCUAAGAUAAGCAUUUCUAGCUGCCCUAUGUUAUUUCUAUCAUUCAACAGUUGGGGGAAAAAUUUAGGUUUUAGCAUUCAACAAGUUUUGGUGAAUUUUGCAGUCCCUGAUAUAAAAUGUGGUAUAGUGGUUACCUAGCAUGUGUUUCUAUUUUCAUUCCUACUGUAAUUUGAUGUAUGUGCAUAAAGAAAAAGAAAGGAGGCUUGGGGUUACCUUUUUUGAUGUGGGGACGAAGUGUUGUUGGAUGUGGGGAACUUGAUCCUAAAUCAACUCUCAUUCCUCCAUCCUAUGCGAAUUCUUUGGAAAGCUUGAUUGUGAACUCUUUGGAAAGCUUGAUUGUGAUAGGGGUGGAAGUGAUUGUUAUAUCUAUCCAUAUGUAAAAAAAAGUUGCAAGAGACGUGGGCAGCAAGUUGUUGGCAGCAUGUUGCCAACAUACUUUCCCUAAUCAUUCUCCUUUUGUCAGGACAUUUAAUGUUUCUCUGCUAACACUGAAUACAGUAAUAAAUGAUAUGUCAGAAGAUCUAUCCUAAAGGAUCGGCAUCACAUCAGAUUGAGUUACUAUUAUUAUUGCAUUAGAUUAAUCAUUUAGAAAGAAAAUUUUAUUUGCUUAUUGUUUGAUUUGGUGCAGGAAAAAAAAUCCAAUUCCAAUUCGGAGCUGUUCUCGUUGAUGUACCCGAUUUUCUUUAGAACGAAAGAUGUAUUAAAUUAAAUUUUUGUUGGUCUUUUAUUGGAUGUAUCGGACAUUAAAAUUUUGAUUUUGAGAUCUUAUUUAUUUAUUUAAAUUUAUUAUAUUCUAAUAGGUGAAAUA